Molecule: ribosomal RNA, 296 nt
Filed under: Clostridioides difficile
Lineage: Bacteria; Bacillati; Bacillota; Clostridia; Peptostreptococcales; Peptostreptococcaceae
Description: partial 23S ribosomal RNA
Rfam family: Bacterial large subunit ribosomal RNA
Source: RNAcentral
CGGUCGGAAAUCGUACGUAGAGUGUAAAGGCAAAAGAGAGCUUGAUUGCAAGACAUACAGGUCGAGCAAGGAUGAAAAUCGGACUUAGUGAUCCGGUGGUUCUGCGUGGAAGGGCCAUCGCUCAACGGAUAAAAGCUACCCUGGGGAUAACAGGCUUAUCUCCCCCAAGAGUCCACAUCGACGGGGAGGUUUGGCACCUCGAUGUCGGCUCAUCACAUCCUGGGGCUGUAGUAGGUCCCAAGGGUUGGGCUGUUCGCCCAUUAAAGUGGUACGCGAGCUGGGUUCAGAACGUCGUG